AGAGUUUGAUCAUGGCUCAGGAUGAACGCUAGCGGCAGGCUUAAUACAUGCAAGUCGAAUGUGGCAACACAUGGCGCACGGGUGCGUAACACGUAUGCAACCUACUCAGUACAGGAGGAUAACCAGCCGAAAGGUUGGAUAAUACUCCAUAACAUCACCGAAAAGCAUUUUUUGAUGAUUAAAGAUUUAUCGGUACUGAAUGGGCAUGCGUCCGAUUAGCUUGUUGGCGGGGUAACGGCCCACCAAGGCUUUGAUCGGUAGGGGAACUAAGAGGUUUAUCCCCCACACUGGUACUGAGAUACGGACCAGACUCCUACGGGAGGCAGCAGUAGGGAAUAUUGGUCAAUGGGGGCAACCCUGAACCAGCCAUGCCGCGUGCAGGAAGAAGGCGUUAUGCGUUGUAAACUGCUUUUGACAGGGAAUAAAAAGCUCAUGCGUGAGAAAUUGAAUGUACCUGUAGAAUAAGCCACGGCUAACUACGUGCCAGCAGCCGCGGUAAUUC
RNAcentral lists this ribosomal RNA (502 nucleotides) under uncultured bacterium. RNAcentral describes it as "bacterial SSU rRNA". It matches the Rfam family "Bacterial small subunit ribosomal RNA", at positions 8 to 526 of the family's 1533-position model. The record is from RNAcentral.